This 450-nucleotide ribosomal RNA is filed under the name uncultured bacterium. Its description in RNAcentral is "partial 16S ribosomal RNA". It matches the Rfam family "Bacterial small subunit ribosomal RNA", at positions 354 to 796 of the family's 1533-position model. The record is from RNAcentral.
GUGGGGAAUAUUGGACAAUGGGCGAAAGCCUGAUCCAGCCAUGCCGCGUGUGUGAAGAAGGCCUUCGGGUUGUAAAGCACUUUAAGCGAGGAGGAAAGGUUGAAGGUUAAUACCCUUUAGCUGUGACGUUACUCGCAGAAUAAGCACCGGCAAACUUCGUGCCAGCAGCCGCGGUAAUACGAAGGGUGCAAGCGUUAAUCGGAAUUACUGGGCGUAAAGCGCGCGUAGGUGGUUAAGUAAGCGAUCUGUGAAAGCCCCGGGCUCAACCUGGGAAUUGCAGGUCGAACUGCUUGGCUAGAGUAUGGUAGAGGGGUGUGGAAUUCCAGGUGUAGCGGUGAAAUGCGUAGAUAUCUGGAGGAACAUCAGUGGCGAAGGCGGCUUACUGGUCCAUUACUGACGCUGAGGUGCGAAAGCGUGGGGAGCAAACAGGAUUAGAUACCCCGGUAGUCC